CUUGUUCUGUCUCUUUUCUGUAUAUAACUGUAUGUAUCCUAUGCUUUGUAUGUCUCUUUUCACAACGCUUCAUAUUUUAUAUUUGUAUAAUUGUUGGAGAACUUUCGUUGCUAAGUUGAUCUUAUGAAGUAGAUAAAAUUUUUGAUUUUCUACAUUUUCUUCAAUACCUAUGUUAUAUUUAACGAAAUGACACUAUAUAUUUUUGUUAGUUAAAAGGCUGAUCACUGUAUAUUUUUGGUAGAUUGCUAUGGGGUUUCUGUUUUAUAAGAUCAGCAAUGUAUUUGUUGAAGGCACUGUAUAUCUGGAUUUGGAUGCAGUACACAAUUGUAAUACUCCCUCGUUUUCAAAUAAUUGACGUUUUUAUAAUGCAUUGACCUUAUAGUCACAAUUAUUCUUUUCGAAAUUUUCUUUUUGUGAAUUAAAAUAUAAGUUUAAUAUUUUUAUUUAGAAAAAGAAAAUUUUAAAAAUAAUAACUCUGGCUAUACAGUCGAUGUCCUUCAAAACGUGUGGCAAAAUGUCAAACGUCCAUUUAAAAAUAUAGGGAAUAAUAGAUAUUAGUAUAUUACCACUCGGCUAAGGCUCAAAAUGUCGUUAAUUGUUGCAUGACAUUGAGAUUUUUGAGGUGGGUCAGCUUCUACUAAGUAGUAUAUCAUUUUCAGCUAGUUUACAUCCAUUUCUUUCUCUUUAAAUUUAUUUGUCUGUCUGGUUCAACCGACUUGGCCUUUGUGAUAAGUUUUGGAUUCUGUCUUUGAUGUAACCAAUUGUUCAAUGUGUAACCAAGGUUAAUAUGAAAACAGACAGGUUGAGACGUUGAGUUAAAGUUGUAAGUUGUAACAAAGGGCAAUGUAGAGGGGAGGGAUUAUUUUGGUAAUCUAACUAUCGUUGGCAGAUUUUCAGAGUAUGGAGACUACUUAUAUAAACAGUCCAUGGCUUAAUUAACGAGCCAAUAGUCAAGCACUUUUGAUUUCAUUAGAUGCAGGUAUGUAGAUAGAGGAGAUAUGAUAAAAGAACAGUAUGAAUAGCAGCAAAUUUUAGCUAGGCUAACUCCUAUACAAAUUCCAUGGCCUACUUUCUAUCCUACACCAACUUGGUGUGGGAUUGUAUUAUUAGAUAUUAAUGUACCAAUCAUAAUAUUGAAUAAGUGAGAAUGCAACUCAAACUGUAGAUUCUAAGGAAAAAAUAUCGGAGUAUUGAAUAGAGCAAGGCUUUGGAAAUAUGACUUUUAUGAAGCAUAAAGAGUUGUGCCUUCUACAACGACCAUAAAGUCUGAUAAAUUAGGGUUGAUGUAAAAUCGACUUGAGAAAAUUUUGGUUGCUUGUGACAGUUCUUAAGACAAGGAAACUCUUAUAAAUCAAAUUUUGAAUAUAGUGGAAAUCAGUGUGAGGAGCAUGACUAAACUUGACUUGAUUUGCUGUGCCGUAAAUUUGAACAGAGAGUUCUUACAAUAAUAGAGAUCUAGGUAUCAGCAUUCUCGUAAAGUUUGCUGAGCUCUGCGAACUCCUUCUCUGAGUUAGCAGUCAGUUUUUGCCACAUGAUAUUACUAGUUGUCACAUGUUUUCUUGUGCAAUUCUAGCAUUAUGCAGGACGGAGGCUCUUGGUAAUGUGGGUUGUCACCAUGGACUACCCUGAGACCUGAGAAUAUUUCAUUUCCUACAAUUGCUACCUCCAUCACUGAGGAGUCUGAUGUUAUAUGUUUGCAUUCUCCUACUGCUCGGAAUAUUUUUCUAUGAAUAUUUCAGCUACCAAAAUAUCUGCAACAUACCAAAGUUUUAAGUCAUUUAUGUAAGAUUUGAAGAGGAUUUUGGGGGUCUGUUUGGUUAUUCUGCUGAAAGUUGUUGACAGUUGUCCGUUUGAUGUGGCGGAGACAUGUCAAAGAUGGACCCUCGAGUGUAUGGGAGGCGUGGAUAUUUCUAGCACAGUUGGUAUCCGGUAUGUUUCUUUUCAAGGGGUCCAGUCAAGGUUAUAGACUUGUAGUGCUGAUUAAGCACAAGCUUUCAUAUUCAAUGUUGAUAUCCAUAAAUACACAGACGCGUAAACUCAGUGGAGAAAAAUAUUGUUUCACUUUGAAAGUACAGCCAAGUAAAUUAAUCAAUGCUUGGGUUACUCCACUGUCUCAGCAUAAUGAACCCUAGAAUCUUGUAGGCUUUCCCUAUUCAAUGGAAAAAGCUCUAUGCUUUUACGUGUGGGGCAAGCAGCCAUUGUCUAAUAUAGUGAGGAGUUGGGUCAGGCUUGCUGUGGUUCUGAGUUACUUGGGGCUCAUUGAGUGGCAUUGUUGAUUACUGCAAAGCAGGAAUUCAUACAUUUGUGGAGCCUGGAGGCUGGGUAAUGACAAACACAGGCCCGAGAGUCUAAUCCUUCCUUUUAUAGCUUUAUAGGCUCUCUUGUCUUAACAGUACUUGAAACUGGAUAAGAAGUGUUACCAGCACUAAAAAUUUAUUGACAUGCGCCACACCCCCAACAACUAACACAUAUCCAUUGCAGUCAAAACAUAUUUUGUUUCUACUUAGUAAAUACAGUGUAUGUAGUUGGCUUGUCAGAGUUUUCGCUGUUCAAUUGGUCAAUUCCUUGAUAUAUUAUUUAGGUUGAACGUAAAAUUAUUGUUCUUGGAAAGGCUAUAUCUUUUCCUGAAGUUUAGUGAUGUUUCAGUUGAUGUGGAUUUGGCCGACUUUACUUACAGCCAGGCGCCAUCACAUAAAUUAGAUUUAACAUUUUACAUAUCUUCACCCUUUGUAGCCCGGGGGGUGGGGGAUUUUAUAUCCUUUUAAUUGUGCCUAAAGGGCUAUAUGCUGUGGCGAGCACUGUUUAUGAAAGGAGCUAUAUAAACAGGAAUCCAUAUCUUCCUGUUAGUUUUAACUUUCAAGUAAUUAGCGAGUUAAUAUACUUCACCAUGUCCCCUUCCACUAUUCCUCCUGGCCAAAAAUUUGCUUGCUCUGAGUUAUGCUUAUUAGAAUUGCAUAAAAUCCAAGAUUCUUUUCAUGCAGGGACUCGCGAGGGGGUCCAGAUCUCUCACCUAAUUUCAGUUUUCUCUAAUUUAACAUAUCAUUUUAAAGCUUACUAUGCAGGAUUAGAACCUGCGCAAUACAAGACCAAAGACCUCUAAUGAUGCUUGGUAAACGGUAGCCCCUCUAUUAAGGUUAGCUUAUUACUUAUCUAUAUAACAACUAUUUUUUGACAUUUCCUUGAAAAUUUUGGUCUGCUUUGCUUUUUUAUAAUGAAUAGCCCACACACUUAGCUUCUGGAUCAGCCUCUGUUUGCCUGUGUGUGUAAUGUGUGUAAAUACAUGUAACGGUAGCAAGUUGCCCGUAUUCUAUGAUUUCGAACGCACAGAAUAGUUGUGGUGACCCCUUCAUAGCAAAUGGGCUAUAGUGUUCUCCAGUUACCAUCUACAAACACUGUCAGAUUAAAUUAGUUGUCCCAAUUAAUGUCGGUCUGGUGGCAAACUGAAUAGUCCCAUGUGCCAGUCUCAAAUUUAACUCAGGGGAACACUGUGCGAACCCAGGUUAUUAAAGCCAGCACCCACGUCUUAGACAUUGUGGGGAUCAUCUGGGAUUUCCACCAUUGCACUUUUGACAGAUAGAAAGCUCCCUUUUGGGCCAGUGUUUUCUUGAGAGUUAAAGCCCGUUUGUAGUGACUCUCACUACUGUCGGUGAGUGAUCCGAACCUUUCUUGUUAUCUUUUUUGGACCGGUACCUUCGAAUUUCAAUUGAUAUUAUCUUGGCCAGUGGCCACACUCUCCUCUCUGGCCCUACCUUUCUGCUUCCUAAUUUGUUGCCUCAUCUUAUUCAUUCAUGUUUUCUGGGUGGGAACCCUACUAUUUUUAUGUGUGGUGGCUUGAAUAAAAACUAAAACUUACGCGUUGGUGCUAAUAUAAACUCAUCACUCUGUCAAAAGAUAGUGUUCGUAUAAUGAUAUAAUGUCAUGCGGUCAUUGACACAGGGCAAUGUAAAUUGAUAGCAAAAAGCUUUGAAAAUAUAGAACAAUUAUUUAUCACAAAAUUAAUUUAGAUGAUUAGUUGAAGGAUCCUUGUAUGAAGUGACUUGCACCCUUCAAUUAUUUCUAGACACUAUAGUUGCUUUCAGCUUAUUACUCUGCAAUUACCUUGGUGCAAAUAAUUGAGGAGUUUGCCUAGAAAAUCCUUGGAAAAUUAAAACGGGGCAAACAAGACAUAGAUAAGCAAUAGUAUUUAGGAUUUGAGGACAGAUGGGUACGGCGGAGGCUAGAGAGAAACGAGAGCUGAUAGAUGAUAACGAUUAUGAAGCAAGGUUACAGACACAUGGGCAUAUCAUGUGAUGGACUGUACUAAAUGCAGAGAAGGAGAUUUUUAAGAGUUGUGGACAUGUAGGGUAAAAGCUUGUUAUGGAGAUUAUGUAUUUAUAUAGUGUGAGAUGUAAUAUGGAAGGAUGCAAUCGAGAGGGAUUGAAAACAUGAGUACACAGCCCUGGAACAUGAACAGAACAUGUUCUUCAACAGCAUUGGCAUGUUUCGGGUUAGGAACGGUGGAGUGGGACGGCAGAUACCAAUCUUUGAUAAUUUCUGUCUUUCUAUUAAUGUUCACUGUCGUGCAUUUAUUUUCCUAUAUCCAAGUGUUCGUGUUUAAAUCAUGGAAGCCAAAGUAGAUGUUUGUUUCUGGUAGAGUAAUGAGAUGAGAUAGCUCAAACAGAAGGUUUAUCUCUUAUUGUCCCAUGUUUAGGGUUAAUUCUUAUUAAUACGAUAUUUGGUAGAACAAAUACUCGUUUGUAAGUUCUAAAUCCGUCCAAUUUUUCAAAUAAGGGUCCUAAAUGAGCAAUGUUACGUAUCCCAAAUUUUUUCAUUUUUUUCUAAAUAAAGUGACAGACAGAUGACUGGUUCUAAUUGGGUAAAAAUUUUACAGGGACCAUUAUUAUUAGAGAGGGUGAAAUUAACUAUACUGUCAAUUAAAAUUUGAAAAAAAAAUGAGGAAUAACUUUUGAGUAUCUAACAUUUUUCCAAACGUAAUUAUUCAAAAAAAACAGCUUCCGCACCCAAUUAGACAAGAGCACCUUUUCCGGGUUAUUGAUUGGUAACAUAUCAAAUGGUGGAUAUUACGUACUCAAUAUAGUGCGUUGUU
Molecule: long non-coding RNA, 5086 nt
Organism: Daucus carota subsp. sativus
Lineage: Eukaryota; Viridiplantae; Streptophyta; Magnoliopsida; Apiales; Apiaceae
Exons: 3
Source: RefSeq, a predicted model, not a curated record